RNAcentral lists this transfer RNA (74 nucleotides) under Candidatus Gottesmanbacteria bacterium RIFCSPHIGHO2_01_FULL_47_48. Its description in RNAcentral is "tRNA-Gly". It matches the Rfam family "tRNA". From Rfam's summary of the family: Transfer RNA (tRNA) molecules are approximately 80 nucleotides in length. Their secondary structure includes four short double-helical elements and three loops (D, anti-codon, and T loops). Lineage: Bacteria; Candidatus Gottesmaniibacteriota. The record is from RNAcentral.
GCGGGUGUAGUUGAUUGGCUCAACGCUACCUUCCCAAGGUAGAAAGGGCGGUUCGACUCCGCUCACCCGCUCCA